Molecule: long non-coding RNA, 2740 nt
Organism: Corvus hawaiiensis (hawaiian crow)
Lineage: Eukaryota; Metazoa; Chordata; Aves; Passeriformes; Corvidae
Exons: 3
Source: RefSeq, a predicted model, not a curated record
GGUGCUGCGGCCGCCCCCGCUCCCAGCAGCCCUUGCAGCCGCCUACAAUGAAAUUUGCGAAGUUUUUUCGGUUUCGGCGCCAUUUUCGAGUGGACUCGGAGCAGUGUUGAGAAGAAACUGUGGAUCCUGGAAUUUUACUGUGGAUUUUACUGGUUUUCUGGAGUGCUCUCCCACUGAAGCAGCGAUUGCCUGAUUGUGUCUAGGGAGUCCAUGCAGGAGCUGAUGUGCCUGUGUUCAGAGGUGAGUUGGGAAGGUAAGCUCAUGUCCCACCAAAAUACCUGUAGCAUCUGCAUCCCUCUGGGUAGAUGCAGGUCCCUCUGACACGCAUAUCCCUUCUUGGGUACUGCAGGUAAUACCUUGGAGACGUUCAGGUGAACUCAAAGCUGAACAACCGUAUUCAGAUGCCAAUUUCUGAUUUAAAGUUGAGUUUCCAAAGCACAAACUAAGUUUGAAAGAAGCUGAAGUGUGAGAUGGGAUGAUUCAAACAUGGAACUUUCUAUUGCAUAAAAUAUUGAUGCUGUCAUGUCAUAAACACGCAUAUUUUCUCAGAUACGUAUUUCACUGCCUAUCCCAAAUUUCUAGUUGCCCAAUACUCUGUGUGAAUGUUGAUUUUUCCCUCUGUGCUAGAGGCUGGUGGAGGUGUAUUGAACCCUUGCUUUGAAAAGUCCUCACUAAAGAGAGCUCUUGCCCUUGUUGUUGAACUAGACAAGAGUCUGGUUUAUAUUAAAAUAAAAAUAUUAAUUAAAACGUGAACCUCAAACUCCAUCAAAAUGGAUUCUAAAGCUGAACAUGCUUGCUGUUGUUUUUUUCUUUUGGAGUCACUUGAAGAGAGGAAAGAAAUAAGAUUGCUCAGGUACAGUCAAGUAGAACAUUGUUACAGAAGUAAUUAAUGGUAAUAUUAUGUGGGGGGUUGUUUUGAAUUAGGUCGUACAGGUUUAACACUGGCUACGUGUUGGCUUUGCAGCGAGUAGCAGUUGCUCAUUAGGGAGUUGGCCCUGGUGCUGUCAGUGUUGAGGACACUGAAGUAGUGAAAAUAUACUGCUUUUUUGUUGGCAAAUACUUGAUUUAAAAUUUGAAAUCACUUGGCAUGGGUCACAAGAACUUUUGAAAUUCCUGUUUUUAAGUUUGCUAAAGAGGCAGGGACUCAGCAGCACAUUGGGCACAAGGGGAUGGCGCAAGAAUUCGAAGCCAAGGUGUAAUUUCUGACAUUGUUCAGGUUUUUUUUGUGAUACUUCUUUUUAAGAAAAUUAACUGAAGGAAGUUGUCAUAUAACUGGUGGGGGGGGGGGAAGGUUGAAAGAAAACACAAAAAAUAUCAGUCUGUCUGCACAGCUCCUGUGCAGCCUGGCAGGCUAAUGUGUAAGUGCCACUGGCAGCUGCCUUCGGCAGGACUGCGGCCCCUUCCUGCCCUGCUCUGGUGCUUUCUGCUCUGGUACAGGCAGGGAAGGUGAUGAAGUUCCAGAUAUCUUUAAUUUCUGGUCACAUAAAGUUUGUCCAUUCACAUGGUAAAUAACCAUCAUCUAACCUUUUUAAAAAUAAGGGGUUUUUUACGUAUCUCAAAAGUCAAAUUGAGCUGAAUAAAAGUAUUUUAAGGAAAAUUUAACAGGUUUCAACUGUUGGAAUCUGGAUUUAUUUUUCUGGAAUAUUAACAUUGUGACUUCUGGAAAAUCCUUGAUUGUUAGUGUCACCUAAGAGGAAAGUACAAGGUAACAUUUCCCCACAGACCAUUUGGAAGGGCUGGGGAGUUCUGCAGGCUCUUCACAGUAGCAAAAGCAACAGAUCUGCUGGGUCUGAAAGUGUAUGAUUUGCUGGGACCCAAUACUAAGUGUUGUUUGGGGCUGGGGGGAACAGUUAAUUUCUGAUCUUGUUUCUGAAACUGGUUCAUUUGCACUGUAUAACUGCUUGUUCUCUUAUAGUUACAGACUGUCUGAUAGUACCUGUGAAGAAAAAAACCCCUUGUCCUGUGGUGGUAAUGCACGCAUGUUAAAUGUCUUCAUUGUAUAGUGUUCUUCAGUUCUUUAUAUCAUGGUUUUAAAAAAAAUUAUAUAUAUAUAUAUAUAUUCAAAAUACCAUUUGGAAUGUCAACAUUCAGUGGGCUUUGAGGAGAUGUAGCAGCACAUCAUGGUUUGUAGGGACAAGGAGAUACAGACCAUUCUGGGCUGCCUCAUUACCUCAAGGAUAAGACAAGAAAGUGAGCUUCUGGUUAUCAUAGAUGUGGAAGCUAAACACAUUCCCAUGUAUCUCGUUAGUUCAGGUAUGUGUAGACUCGUUCUCUUGGUGCUUGUACUGUGCACAUCCUUUGCAGCUACGAAUACAUCCCCUAUGAGCUCGUGUUUCUGUGGCCCUGAAGGCAGGAAGGACUUGUGGCUCCUUUUUGUUCUCCAGCAUGGGCAUGACCACAUCCCAUACUAUAUCUACCCCUCAUCUAUUGCUCUUCGGUCCUUUCACUGGCAAAGGAUUGGCCAAGGGACCCUUGCCCUGUGUUUGGGGCAGAGAGGGGGGUCUGCAGGUCAUGGAGAGCUGUCAGCAGUGCUCUAGCAGCACGUAAAUACUGGAGUUUGGGAUCGCCUGUUGCUCUCCAGUAUUGCAUUGCUGCUUUAGUGAGGCUGGAAAUCGGUCCCUGCUGCAGGAGCCGGGACUCUGGCUCUUGGGGUCCCUCCGUGGCACCCCUGUUGUGCCUCCCACACUGCCGGGGGCUCUUGACUCCCACCCUAAUAAACCACUGUGGAGGCAGCAACCAA